GACGAACGCUGGCGGCACGCUUAACACAUGCAAGUCGAACGGUGAAGAGAAGCUUGCUUCUCGGAUCAGUGGCGGACGGGUGAGUAACACGUGAGCAACCUGCCUUUAAGAGGGGGAUAACGUUUGGAAACGAACGCUAAUACCGCAUAACAUAGAAGAUUCGCAUGUUUCUUCUAUCAAAGAUUUAUCGCUUAAAGAUGGGCUCGCGUCUGAUUAGCUGGUUGGUGAGGUAACGGCUCACCAAGGCGACGAUCAGUAGCCGUACUGAGAGGUAGAACGGCCACAUUGGGACUGAGACACGGCCCAGACUCCUACGGGAGGCAGCAGUGGGGAAUAUUGCACAAUGGAGGAAACUCUGAUGCAGCGAUGCCGCGUGAGGGAAGAAGGUUUUCGGAUUGUAAACCUCUGUCUUCAGGGACGAUAAUGACGGUACCUGAGGAGGAA
RNAcentral lists this ribosomal RNA (444 nucleotides) under uncultured bacterium. RNAcentral describes it as "bacterial SSU rRNA". It matches the Rfam family "Bacterial small subunit ribosomal RNA", at positions 28 to 489 of the family's 1533-position model. The record is from RNAcentral.